CUCUUGCAGACUGAAGAAGCCUGCCCUCUCUGGAGUCUCCCUCACCUUUAUCUUCCUCCCCACUACCUUUCUCUUUUUCUCCUCCUCUAAAGCUGUAAACGCCAAGGACGCUUUUGAGUUACUCCUUUGUUUCUGGGAGAGCAAGUCCUGAGGAGGCAGAGAGGUGACUCAGUGGGAUCCCCGUUGGAAAUCAGUUACCUCCAUUGUAUAGAUGCGGAAACCAAAGCUCAGAGGUCCAGCACCACCAUCACCUACUCCAAGUGACCAUCCCUGACUGCUCCAUCUGAAUGUUGUUUCAUCUGUAUCUCUGCCUUACCACUCCACAGCAUUUAUCAUGAUCUGCAGCUAUCUUUUAUUUCUAUUUGAUUUCUUGUUUCUUGUCUGUCUCUUCCCCUAGAAUGUGGAUUUCACCCCCUAAGGGCAGGAAUUCUUGUCUGUUUUUUUUCCCACUUCUUGAUUCCUAGCCCCUAAAAUAGUACCUGACAAUAAAUGUUGAAAGACAGAGGGGCAGAAGGAAACAAAGAAAUACAGGCUAAAUGACUGAGGGAAUAAAUGAAUGAAUGAAUAUAUACAUGUAAGGCUAAA
This 585-nucleotide long non-coding RNA is filed under the name Homo sapiens (human). RNAcentral's name for it is "HSALNT0282475". The record is from RNAcentral. Lineage: Eukaryota; Metazoa; Chordata; Mammalia; Primates; Hominidae.